This 385-nucleotide unclassified non-coding RNA is filed under the name soil metagenome. RNAcentral's name for it is "partial contains 5.8S ribosomal RNA, internal transcribed spacer 2, and large subunit ribosomal RNA". The stretch from base 1 to 120 matches the Rfam family "5.8S ribosomal RNA", at positions 35 to 154 of the family's 154-position model. The record is from RNAcentral.
GAUGAAGAACGCAGCGAAAUGCGAUAAGUAAUGUGAAUUGCAGAAUUCAGUGAAUCAUCGAAUCUUUGAACGCACCUUGCACCCUUUGGCAUUCCGAAGGGUAUGCUCGUUUGAGUGUCAUUGUACUCUCACACUCCCAAUUGCUUUGGAUUGGGAGCGGUGGACUUGGGUGUUGCUGCUUGACUGAGGCCCACCUGAAAUAUGUUAGUGCACCUCUUGAUUGGACAUAGUACGGCGUGAUAAGUGUCUUCGCCGGCUCCUCGCAAAGAGGGUGGCCGAUCGGGAGCUCUGUUGCUUCAAACUGUCUUCGGACAAUCUUCUGGCGACUUGACCUCAAAUCGAGUAGGACUACCCGCUGAACUUAAGCAUAUCAAUAAGCGGAGGA